RNAcentral lists this unclassified non-coding RNA (168 nucleotides) under soil metagenome. RNAcentral's name for it is "partial internal transcribed spacer 1". The record is from RNAcentral.
UUGAGGGAUUGAUUUGAAAGUAGUGUGAAUGAGGAUGUUGCUGGGGGACUGAGGACUCUUCUGGGUUGCUCACCACUGGGCUACCUUUGAAAGUGAUCCCGUACCCCCACCUGUUAACCACUUUACCAUCUAUUGAUACAUACCUGGGAUCACUCCCAUGGGAUAAAA